CAGUCGCCGCGAUAAUACGAAGGGUGCAAGCGUUAAUCGGAAUUACUGGGCGUAAAGCGUGCGUAGGCGGUGAGUUAAGUCUGCUGUGAAAUCCCCGGGCUCAACCUGGGAAUGGCAGUGGAUACUGGCUCGCUAGAGUGUGUCAGAGGAUGGUGGAAUUCCCGGUGUAGCGGUGAAAUGCGUAGAGAUCGGGAGGAACAUCGGUGGCGAAGGCGGCCAUCUGGGACAACACUGACGCUGAGGCACGAAAGCGUGGGGAGCAAACAGGAUUAGAUACCCCCGUAGUCCCUGUCUCUUAUAA
This 301-nucleotide ribosomal RNA is filed under the name uncultured bacterium. RNAcentral's name for it is "partial 16S ribosomal RNA". It matches the Rfam family "Bacterial small subunit ribosomal RNA", at positions 509 to 809 of the family's 1533-position model. The record is from RNAcentral.